Long non-coding RNA from Pocillopora damicornis (cauliflower coral), 671 nucleotides. RefSeq lists it as uncharacterized. NCBI's taxonomy places the organism in Eukaryota, Metazoa, Cnidaria, Anthozoa, Scleractinia, Pocilloporidae. The record is from RefSeq and is a predicted model, not a curated record.
GCCGUGUGCUACCAAUUAAAAGCUGGAACGAAGAGAAACAGAAGUGAAUCAGAAUGUUGCUUCGGAAGUCCCACCAGUGACUAGAAACUCCUCAGAUCAAAGCGUUCCGAGAACACGCAGAAAAUUGGCUCUAUAACAACAACGCUCUCACCUGGGUAUUAGGAUGAUACGCAGCUAACGCUUCCCUUAUCUGGUGAACCUCUGAACAUGUGAUUCCCCCAACGAUGAACAGAACCAACAAAGGAUGGUCAUUAGGACGAGGCUUGCUCACAUUCAUGAAUAAACUGAGUCAAACAAUAAAACAAGAAAUGGUGAAUUAACGAAUAUAGCAUGACGUGCAUCUCAGGCAGGAAAUAACUGACAGCAAAAACAAAAUCGCCCCUUUCGUUUUACCUAAAUCCUGUUUUGAUAAGAUCCUUAAAUCCGUGUGACUUGAACUCGAUGUCGGGUAGUUCAGGUGAUUCAGGACUAUAAAUGCCUUCUGUUAUCUGAAAAAGAUGAAGCAUUUUAGACAUUCAAAUAAAUCAGAACAAUUUCCUUUGGUUGAAUCACACAAAACGCUUUAAACUCAAACUUCACAGGAAAAGCUUUGUUACUAAAACAGUGCUCUGAAAAGUGUUUCUAAAGUAUAGUCUACUGAAGUGCAAAUUAUAAUAAAGUGACUCACAUGG